This 433-nucleotide ribosomal RNA is filed under the name uncultured bacterium. Its description in RNAcentral is "partial 16S ribosomal RNA". It matches the Rfam family "Bacterial small subunit ribosomal RNA", at positions 29 to 507 of the family's 1533-position model. The record is from RNAcentral.
AACGAACGCUGGCGGCAUGCCUAACACAUGCAAGUCGAACGAGACCUUCGGGUCUAUUGGCGCACGGGUGCGUAACGCGUGGGAACCUGCCCUUAGGUUCGGAAUAACUCCCCGAAAGGGGUGCUAAUACCGGUUAAUGUCUUCGGACCAAGGAUUUAUCGCCUUUGGAUGGGCCCGCGUUGGAUUAGCUGGUUGGUAGGGUAAAAGCAUACCAAGGCGACGAUCCAUAGCUGGUCUGAGAGGAUGAUCAGCCACACUGGGACUGAGACACGGCCCAGAAUCCUACGGGAGGGAGCAGUGGGGAAUAUUGGACGAUGGGCGAAAGCCUGAUCCAGCAAUGCCGGGUGAGUGAUGAAGGCCUUAGGGUUGUAAAGCUCUUUUAGCCGGGAUGAUAAUGACAGUACCGGGAGAAUAAGCACCGGCUAACUACGUG